GACGAACGCUGGCGGCGUGCUUAACACAUGCAAGUCGAACGGAAAGGCCCUGCUUUUGUGGGGUGCUCGAGUGGCGAACGGGAGAGUAACACGUGAGUCACCUGCCCUUGACUUUGGGAUAACUUCAGGAAACUGGGGAUAAUACCGGAUAGGAGCUCCUGCUGCAUGGUGGGGGUUGGAAAGUUUCGGCGGUUGGGGAUGGACUCGCGGCUUAUCAGCUUGUUGGUGGGGUAGUGGCUUACCAAGGCAUUGACGGGUAGCCGGCCUGAGAGGGUGACCGGCCACAUUGGGACUGAGAUACGGCCCAGACUCCUACGGGAGGCAGCAGUGGGGAAUAUUGCACAAUGGGCGGAAGCCUGAUGCAGCAACGCCGCGUGCGGGAUGACGGCCUUCGGGUUGUAAACCGCUUUCGCCUGUGACGAAGCGUGAGUGACGGUAAUGGGUAAAGAAGCACCGGCUAACUACGUG
RNAcentral lists this ribosomal RNA (468 nucleotides) under uncultured bacterium. RNAcentral describes it as "partial 16S ribosomal RNA". It matches the Rfam family "Bacterial small subunit ribosomal RNA", at positions 28 to 507 of the family's 1533-position model. The record is from RNAcentral.